GAUGAACGCUGGCGGUAUGCUUAACACAUGCAAGUCGAACGGACUCUUCGGAGUUAGUGGCGGACGGGUGAGUAACGCGUGAGAAUCUGGCUUUGGGUUCGGGACAACCACUGGAAACGGUGGCUAAUACCGGAUGUGCCGAGAGGUAAAAGAGAAAUUGCCUGAAGAUGAGCUCGCAUCUGAUUAGCUAGUUGGUGAGGUAAAGGCUCACCAAGGCAGCGAUCAGUAGCUGGUCUGAGAGGAUGACCAGCCACACUGGGACUGAGACACGGCCCAGACUCCUACGGGAGGCAGCAGUGGGGAAUUUUCCGCAAUGGGCGAAAGCCUGACGGAGCAAUACCGCGUGAGGGAAGAAGGCUCUUGGGUUGUAAACCUCUUUUCUUAGGGAAGAACAAAAUGACGGUACCUAAGGAAUCAGCAUCGGCUAACUCCGUG
This 435-nucleotide ribosomal RNA is filed under the name uncultured bacterium. RNAcentral describes it as "partial 16S ribosomal RNA". It matches the Rfam family "Bacterial small subunit ribosomal RNA", at positions 28 to 507 of the family's 1533-position model. The record is from RNAcentral.